Corvus hawaiiensis (hawaiian crow) is the source of this 101-nucleotide long non-coding RNA. RefSeq lists it as uncharacterized. NCBI's taxonomy places the organism in Eukaryota, Metazoa, Chordata, Aves, Passeriformes, Corvidae. The transcript is spliced from 4 exons. The record is from RefSeq and is a predicted model, not a curated record.
CAGCAGUUUUACUGUCACAGGCAAAACAGACUCGACUUGAGGAAAUAAAUUUAAUUUAUUGCAAAUCAAAUCAGAGUAGGAUAAUAAGAAAUAAGAACAAA